This 468-nucleotide ribosomal RNA is filed under the name uncultured bacterium. RNAcentral's name for it is "partial 16S ribosomal RNA". It matches the Rfam family "Bacterial small subunit ribosomal RNA", at positions 28 to 507 of the family's 1533-position model. The record is from RNAcentral.
GACGAACGCUGGCGGCGUGCUUAACACAUGCGAGUCGAACGGAAAGGCCCUGCUUUUGUGGGGUGCUCGAGUGGCGAACGGGUGAGUAACACGUGAGUAACCUGCCCUUGACUUUGGGAUAACUUCAGGAAACUGGGGCUAAUACCGGAUAGGAGCUCCUGCUGCAUGGUGGGGGUUGGAAAGUUUCGGCGGGUGGGGAUGGACUCGCGGCUUAUCAGCUUGUUGGUGGGGUAGUGGCUUACCAAGGCUUUGACGGGUAGCCGGCCUGAGAGGGUGACCGGCCACACUGGGUCUGAGAUACGGCCCAGACUCCUACGGGAGGCAGCAGUGGGGAAUAUUGCACAAUGGGCGGAAGCCUGAUGCAGCAACGCCGCGUGCGGGAUGACGGCCUUCGGGUUGUAAACCGCUUUCGCCUGUGACGAAGCGUGAGUGGCGGUAAUGGGUAAAGAAGCACCGGCUAACUACGUG